Molecule: ribosomal RNA, 558 nt
Filed under: uncultured bacterium
Lineage: Bacteria
Description: partial 16S ribosomal RNA
Rfam family: Bacterial small subunit ribosomal RNA
Source: RNAcentral
UGGGGAAUUUUGGACAAUGGGGGCAACCCUGAUCCAGCAAUGCCGCGUGUGUGAAGAAGGCCUUCGGGUUGUAAAGCACUUUUGUCCGGAAAGAAAACGCCGUGGUUAAUACCCGUGGCGGAUGACGGUACCGGAAGAAUAAGCACCGGCUAACUACGUGCCAGCAGCCGCGGUAAUACGUAGGGUGCAAGCGUUAAUCGGAAUUACUGGGCGUAAAGCGUGCGCAGGCGGUCCGCUAAGACAGAUGUGAAAUCCCCGGGCUUAACCUGGGAACUGCAUUUGUGACUGGCGGGCUAGAGUAUGGCAGAGGGGGGUAGAAUUCCACGUGUAGCAGUGAAAUGCGUAGAGAUGUGGAGGAAUACCGAUGGCGAAGGCAGCCCCCUGGGCCAAUACUGACGCUCAUGCACGAAAGCGUGGGGGAGCAAAACAGGAUUCAGAUACCCUGGGUAGUCCACGCCCUAAACGAUGUCAACUAGUUGUCGGGUCUUCAUUGACUUGGUAACGUAGCUAACGCGUGAAGUUGACCGCCUGGGGAGUACGGUCGCAAGAUUAAAACUC